Molecule: long non-coding RNA, 1076 nt
Organism: Armigeres subalbatus
Lineage: Eukaryota; Metazoa; Arthropoda; Insecta; Diptera; Culicidae
Exons: 3
Source: RefSeq, a predicted model, not a curated record
AGAAAAAGUGGAUGGCAUUAUUUUCGUUUACGUCCACAGUACAUUCAAAUUUCUUGUAAACAAACUCGAUAAUUGUCAAAAUAUUGAGAUUGUGUUACUUCUUGCAUGUAAUAAAAAGAGAAUGACGAAGACAAUGGUGAAUUCUUAAUUUCAAGCAGUAAAGUAAUUUAAUAAUUCAAAAUUUAUUGAAGUGCGCGUGAUUAUAAAGAAUGAUUUCAGACUAUUACAGCUGUAUCUUAUUAAUUUAUUGUGCUAAUUGUUUUUGCUCAGUUUUCGGUUCAAUAAUUAAUACUACUUUGUCUAAACCAUGUCUGAUAGAUAUGUUGAAUCAAUGUCCACCCAAUUCUACAUGUGACGAAGGUUCGUGUGUUUGUUUGCGACAGUUCAAACAAAACCCUAAAUAUGAUGAGCAGAAGAAAAACGAAUUAUGCAUUGAAAUGGAUGCAACAUUUGAUGGCAAUAAAUCAGUCAUAUAUGGCAAUGUUUAUGGAAAAGCUCCAGAACCACAUCAUAUUUUAGGUGGAAUUUUGAUUCCUAUUAGUGCAGUAAUAGUGAUUUUAGCCACCCUCGUAUUAGCUAAAAAAAUGCAGUUAAUACAAAGGAUCCGCCAUUCCCUUUUUUCGAAUCGACCCAGAAGGCCGGCUUAUGAAGAUGUUGUAUUAGUAGGCUAUGAACAAUAAUUCCAAAGAAAGGAUUCUUGAGCGUAAAUUAUUAAUAUGAAAGGGAACAUCAAGCAAGGCUUUGAUCGACUCGUUAUUCCUAAUAGUUAUCACCAUAAAUUUGAGUUGAAUGAAGUGACAUAUGUAAUGGUAUCAUCAGAUAAAACAUUUUUUUUUCUAUUUGUAUAUAUAAAACAAAAUGAUACCCUUCUGAUAGUGCACAAACAAUGUACAUAAAUCAUAUCACAAUGAGAAACGCAUUUAGGAAACCUAAUCAAUUGAUUUGGUUCAAUUAAACAUAGGAUCAGUAUCCAACAUAAAAUUAAAAGAAUGUGAUUUAUUUUCGAUAAUUUUGUAGAUAUAAACAGACAAUGUAACUUCCAUAUUGAUCUACAGUGAAAAAUAAAACAUAAAAAC